CCUACGGGAGGCAGCAGUGGGGAAUCUUGCGCAAUGGCCGAGAGGCUGACGCAGCGACGCCGCGUGGGGGAUGAAGCAUUUCGGUGUGUAAACCCCUGUUGCUCGGGACGAACGACCCUUUUCGAGGGGUGUGACGGUACCGAGUGAGGAAGCACCGGCUAACUCCGUGCCAGCAGCCGCGGUAAUACGGAGGGUGCAAGCGUUGUCCGGAAUCACUGGGCGUAAAGGGCGCGUAGGUGGUUAGAUGCGCCGGUGGUGAAAGCGCAGGGCUCAACCCUGCGUCGGCCAUCGGGACGGUCUGACUGGAGCACUGUAGAGGCAGGUGGAAUUCCGGGUGUAGCGGUGGAAUGCGUAGAGAUCCGGAAGAACACCGGUGGCGGAGGCGGCCUGCUGGGCAGUUGCUGACACUGAGGCGCGACAGCGUGGGGAGCAAACAGGAUUAGAUACCCUGGUAGUCCACGCCGUAAACGAUGGGCACUAGGUGCUUGGGGGAGCGACCCCCUGAGUGCCGACGCUAACGCAUUAAGUGCCCGCCUGGGGAGUACGACCGCAAGGUUGAAACUCAAAGAGAGUGCGNGNGAGCGCGACGACGACGACGACGGAGGAGGAGG
This 611-nucleotide ribosomal RNA is filed under the name uncultured bacterium. RNAcentral describes it as "bacterial SSU rRNA". It matches the Rfam family "Bacterial small subunit ribosomal RNA", at positions 338 to 944 of the family's 1533-position model. The record is from RNAcentral.